This 161-nucleotide ribosomal RNA is filed under the name uncultured bacterium. Its description in RNAcentral is "partial 16S ribosomal RNA". It matches the Rfam family "Bacterial small subunit ribosomal RNA", at positions 355 to 509 of the family's 1533-position model. The record is from RNAcentral.
UAGGGAAUCUCCACAAUGGACGAAAGUCUGAUGGAGCAACGCCGCGUGAGUGAAGAAGGGUUUCGGCUCGUAAAGCUCUGUUGGUAGUGAAGAAAGAUAGAGGUAGUAACUGGCCUUUAUUUGACGGUAAUUACUUAGAAAGUCACGGCUAACUACGUGCC